GCAGGCAGGCGGCCAGGCAGGCGGCUAACUGCCAUCGCAGGCUCAAGGAUGCCUCAGAGCGCUGCGGAAUGGCAUCCUAAAAAAAUCAAUCGAUUGAUCGACAAGCUUUUAUUAAGUGCCUACUAUGUGCCAGGCACGUUGGUGAAACAAUCUGUGCUUUCAAGGAUGGUGUCUUUUAUUGGGGCAAAUGAUACAUGCAUGCAUACUUUGCUCUUCCGGUUACCUCAUUCUUCCAGGAUCAUGGUCAUUUUUGAUUCUCAAGACAUUUAGCAUUUUGGGAGAAUGUACACAGGUUUCCACAUCCUCAAAAAUUCUUUACCAUCCUUAUACAGCUCCUCUGCUGAUUCUUCAGACUUUUCCAACUCCUCCCAGGAGCCUUCCCACCCAGGAGAUGCCUGCACUCCAUUUUAAGAGGGAAUUCCACUGAAGAGGAAGGGAAGGGCAUUCCAGUCAUCAGGAACAGAAUGAACUUCGUUAGACUCUGAAAGGGAAGAGUCUUCCUCCUACCCCUCCCCUCUUUUCACCAACCCCUCUUUAAGACACAACUGAAAAGAACUUAGGUUCAUUCUUUCCAGUUUGUUCCAAACCCUUAGCUGUCCCCCGCCCCCAAGUUUAAUUCUAUUCUAGAAAUUGUUUCUCCUUCAUUUUGCUGUCACUUGAACAAUGUUCCACUAAAUUGGGGGUGGGUGGGGGGAACCAAGGAUGGAUUUCUCUAAACUGUAGAGAGGAGGAAAUUCCUUUCUAUCAAAUGUAAGACCCCCUGUCCCGGGUGGGUUUGGCCGUUAGUUUCCUGAAAGACAACCCAGUGAAUUACAAAUUGCAGAAAUUACGGGAAAGAAAAUCAAUGGACUUGACAACAUAAAAACAGAGGAGGUUUGCAAAACAGAAAAAGUAGUGUGUCCAAGAUAUAAAGAGAACAAACAGAUUGGGGAAAGGAAAA
Molecule: non-coding RNA, 940 nt
Organism: Phascolarctos cinereus (koala)
Lineage: Eukaryota; Metazoa; Chordata; Mammalia; Diprotodontia; Phascolarctidae
Source: RefSeq, a predicted model, not a curated record